AAAGAGGCUAGAGAACCAUGACAAAAGCUUCUGGAGCCAUAUCUAUGACUGGUAAAAUGUUCAAAACAAAAUUGAAAAUAGCUAAUGCAAUUAAACAAAACUAGUUCAUCAAUGCAGAAUCUCAUCAAAAACACAUCACUUCUUCUUUUGGGCAGCCUUGGUGACUUUAGCACCAGUAGGGUCUUUCUUGUCAACGUUCUUGACAACUCCAACAGCAACAGUCUGACGCAUGUCCCUCACGGCAAAACGUCCCAAUGGUGGGUACUCAGCAAAGGUCUCAACAACCAUGGGCUUGGUG
This 298-nucleotide unclassified non-coding RNA is filed under the name Hevea brasiliensis (rubber tree). Lineage: Eukaryota; Viridiplantae; Streptophyta; Magnoliopsida; Malpighiales; Euphorbiaceae. The record is from RNAcentral.